Non-coding RNA from Caenorhabditis elegans, 21 nucleotides. The record is from Ensembl. Lineage: Eukaryota; Metazoa; Nematoda; Chromadorea; Rhabditida; Rhabditidae.
UGACAAUAAAAUUACCGAUUA